Molecule: non-coding RNA, 559 nt
Organism: Salmo salar (Atlantic salmon)
Lineage: Eukaryota; Metazoa; Chordata; Actinopteri; Salmoniformes; Salmonidae
Source: RefSeq, a predicted model, not a curated record
UUUGCUCCUUGUUUGCCAUUGAUAGGGGAUAUAGAUCAAACUUAAUUUGGUUUAGCACUUGCUCCUUGUAAUUCUAGUAAUCAAUUAAUUCUUAAACAAAAGUGUAUAAUGUUUAGAAUCUAACAUAUUUUUUUAUUUACUUAAGCCUUGUCAUACUAGCACAAUUUAUUUUAGAACGCAGUGUUAAUUUAUAGGCGGCGGCUUCAUUUCAGGAGUGGCUUGAUCAAGACCAUGCUUCGGCAACUAUUCUACUGCAUUUAGCAGCUUUCUAAGCUGGAGUGAAAAGCUUGGCAAAUGUUGCUCUGGAGUUCAUGAGACUGGUGUCUGUGGACCUCAAGAAGACAUUUUAUGAAGGCCUGGACAGUCAUCUUUCUAAGCUCCUUGAAUUCUCCCGGGCCAAGAGUGGUGGAGGGAUGGAGCUAAAACACCUUAUGGACAGUCUUGACAAAGACAGUUCCAAUCAAAGGUAGAGUGUGCUGUGCUCCGAGGCUUGCCAGACUUCCUGCGAGAAGACCCUACCAAUUUUUUGAAGACGUGAGGUAUACAACCCUACAACAUA